Molecule: unclassified non-coding RNA, 304 nt
Filed under: plant metagenome
Description: partial contains 5.8S ribosomal RNA, internal transcribed spacer 2, and large subunit ribosomal RNA
Rfam family: 5.8S ribosomal RNA (bases 1-105)
Source: RNAcentral
GAAAUGCGAUAAGUAAUGUGAAUUGCAGAAUUCAGUGAAUCAUCGAAUCUUUGAACGCACAUUGCGCCCGCCAGUAUUCUGGCGGGCAUGCCUGUUCGAGCGUCAUUUCAACCAUCAAGCCCCCGGCUUGUGUUGGGGACCUGCGGCUGCCGCAGGCCCUGAAAAACAGUGGCGGGCUCGCUGUCACACCGAGCGUAGUAGCAUACAUUCUCGCUCAGGGCGUGCUGCGGGUUCCGGCCGUUAAACGACCUUCAUAACCCAAGGUUGACCUCGGAUCAGGUAGGAAGACCCGCUGAACUUAAGC